Molecule: ribosomal RNA, 253 nt
Filed under: uncultured bacterium
Lineage: Bacteria
Description: partial 16S ribosomal RNA
Rfam family: Bacterial small subunit ribosomal RNA
Source: RNAcentral
UACGAAGGGGGCGAGCGUUGUUCGGAAUUACUGGGCGUAAAGCGUGCGCAGGCGGUUCUAUAAGACAGAUGUGAAAUCCCCGGGCUCAACCUGGGAACUGCAUUUGUGACUGUAGAGCUGGAGUACGGCAGAGGGGGAUGGAAUUCCGCGUGUAGCAGUGAAAUGCGUAGAUAUGCGGAGGAACACCGAUGGCGAAGGCAAUCCCCUGGGCCUGUACUGACGCUCAUGCACGAAAGCGUGGGGAGCAAACAGG